AGAUUGGCCAGUACAACAGCAGAGGGCCAUGUUGGGCUUUGACUCAGGAAUCCUGGUGGAGGCAAUGAUGAGAGAGAAGAGAUAAAACACACUAGUUUCUAUCAAUCCAUCUUAGCAGCAGAGCCAAGUGUUAGAGUUAUUGCUGCCUGAGUUAUAACAGCUGCCCUGGGAAUCUUGUCUGAACAACAAGUUAACUGCUGUUCCCAGUUAUAUCUGGUCUUUCCCACCCCCAAACAUACACAAAAGAUUUUUGUCAUUCUUGGCACUGGACAACAGAAGUGAUAAGACAUGCCAGCAGAACUCUAAAGGCAGAAUGUCCUUCCACCUGUUUUAUGCUGUAAGACAAACUUCCAAGUGCGAGGCAGUGUGGAGGGCUGUUGCCUUGAAUGGCAGCUGAAUGCACCAGCGGGAUCCUUGGCAGCAAUGCCCAGGCACUGAAGUCGGGCAUUCAGGAGAGCUAAAUGGAGAAAAGAAACUUGAGCAAACUGCUUCCUGGAACACUGAGAACCUGAAUGGGAAAUUAAGAAGAACCAGAUUCUUUCUAUUCUUCCACCAGCCAAGGUGAUGAGCACAAAAGGAUCCAUCUUAUACAGUGCUUGCCAGCUUCCAUAAUACUACUCACCACGAUGUUGAAAUCACCUGUUCCAGAACCAGUCCUGUCCUUUGACAAGAAGGAUUUAAUUAUCAGUAGUGGUGGGGACUGGCUGGAGAGAGGAAAAACACUUCAAGGACUCUGCCACCUUUCGUAGAUGGAGAGUGCAAAGUUUGUACCAUGGAACUCCUUCUCUAACAGUUACUCUGUGGCAGUGCCUAUUUCAAACCUCCCUUAACUUCUGAUUGUAUAGAUGUUUGUUUCAUUUGUUCAUCUGUUUGUUCACUUAGUCAGAGAUGUUUUAAGCCUUAAGAGAAAUAGUGGACUAGAAAAUGCCUUGGAAAAGUACAAAGUUCAAUCCAAGUAAACUGUUUUUAAACUAGGAAUUUAUGAAGCCUAAAAUAUAAAAUGUAUAUACAUGGAUAUGCUCUGAAGUGAGGUAGAGGGGUAGAAAUCAACAUUGUGAUAUUGUACUAUAGUUUUGCAAGAUGUUACCAUUGGGGGAAAAUGUUUGAAGGGUAUACGGGAUAUCUCUGCCUUAUUUCUUACAACUGCAUGUGAAUCUACAGUUAUCUCAAAAUAAAAAUUUAAUUAACAAUUGAUUACAA
Molecule: long non-coding RNA, 1200 nt
Filed under: Homo sapiens (human)
Lineage: Eukaryota; Metazoa; Chordata; Mammalia; Primates; Hominidae
Description: long intergenic non-protein coding RNA 3013
Source: RNAcentral